UCCACCUCUUAAUGUCAUACAGAGUCCUUUUCCAGGUCUUGUUUAUUGUAAGCUCAAUACUACAUGAUCCUUUCUACUCCAGAAAACCUCGGCAAGGUAAACUUCAAGCUCUGCUUUGCCCUGCUUAAACUGCAAUUUUUAUUCAACCUCUAAGAACCUGAAUAUAACCUUCACCUUCCUCAGCAAGUGCUUUAUUACCCAAUGAAAAAGGAGGAUCUCUAGGACCGCAAAAAGAAAUUGUCAGCAUAAAAACAGCAAAGAUAUUUUCUUGUUGUCUUACAGGACAGAUUGCUUCUCAAACAGAGUGUCCAGGCAGAGAAGUAAAAGGUUUUUGUGAGGCCACUUCUGUAGAUUUCAGCACAGAAGAAGAUUAACUGCAGCACAGGAACAGAAAUGAACAGUCAGCAUUUAAAGGAAAUACAAGAACUUCUAUGCCUAACUGUCAGAGAAAAACGUCAGGUUCCUUCAGCCAUGCUUCUUUUCCAAGUGGAAGACGAAAGAAAGGUACAGACAGAGAAUCCAGCACCUAAGCAUCAUAAGGCUAAAUAUUUGUUCACUUGCUUAACAUGCAGUAAGUCCUGGAGUGCUCUCUGUUUACCCAAGAGGAUUUCAGCAUAGAGGCUUGCUCCAGAAAGGUAUUUGUUUAGAAAAGAGAAAAAUCCUGCAGAUCAGUGUAAUCUCUGUUACUCUAGGAAUUAGUGA
RNAcentral lists this long non-coding RNA (702 nucleotides) under Parus major (Great Tit). RNAcentral describes it as "lncRNA (ENSPMJG00000002115.1)". Lineage: Eukaryota; Metazoa; Chordata; Aves; Passeriformes; Paridae. The record is from RNAcentral.